GAUGAACGCCAGCGGCAGGCCUAAUACAUGCAAGUCGAACGAGAUCCAGGAGCUUGCUCCUGGUGAAAGUGGCGCACGGGUGCGUAACGCGUAUGCAACCUACCUUAAUCAGGGGGAUAGCCUCUCGAAAGAGAGAUUAACACCGCAUAAAAUCACAAGCUGGCAUCAGCAAAUGAUCAAAUAUUUAUAGGAUUAAGAUG
This 200-nucleotide ribosomal RNA is filed under the name uncultured bacterium. Its description in RNAcentral is "partial 16S ribosomal RNA". It matches the Rfam family "Bacterial small subunit ribosomal RNA", at positions 28 to 227 of the family's 1533-position model. The record is from RNAcentral.